This 80-nucleotide microRNA precursor is filed under the name Medicago truncatula (barrel medic). RNAcentral's name for it is "MIR5269 microRNA precursor family". It matches the Rfam family "MIR5269 microRNA precursor family". Lineage: Eukaryota; Viridiplantae; Streptophyta; Magnoliopsida; Fabales; Fabaceae. The record is from Rfam by way of RNAcentral.
UUGGAAAAAAUUAAUGUAGGACCUACACUUUGGAAAUGGAACCUAUAUAAAGUGGUGGAACAUACAUUGAUUUCAUCCAG